Molecule: ribosomal RNA, 303 nt
Filed under: uncultured bacterium
Lineage: Bacteria
Description: bacterial SSU rRNA
Rfam family: Bacterial small subunit ribosomal RNA
Source: RNAcentral
UGGGGAAUAUUGCACAAUGGGGGAAACCCUGAUGCAGCAACGCCGCGUGAGUGAAGAAGUAUUUCGGUAUGUAAAGCUCUAUCAGCAGGGAAGAAGAUGACGGUACCUGACCAAGAAGCCCCGGCUAACUACGUGCCAGCAGCCGCGGUAAUACGUAGGGGGCAAGCGUUAUCCGGAUUUACUGGGUGUAAAGGGAGCGCAGACGGCAGUGCAAGUCUGGAGUGAAAGCCCGGGGCCCAACCCCGGAACUGCUCUGGAAACUGUGCGGCUAGAGUACUGGAGGGGCAGGCGGAAUUCCUAGUG